GAUGAAGAACGCAGCGAAAUGCGAUAGUAAUGUGAAUUGCAGAAUUCAGUGAAUCAUCGAAUCUUUGAACGCACAUUGCGCCCGCCAGUAUUCUGGCGGGCAUGCCUGUUCGAGCGUCAUUUCAACCAUCAAGCCCCAGGCUUGUGUUGGGGACCUGCGGCUGCCGCAGGCCCUGAAAACCAGUGGCGGGCUCGCUGUCACACCGGGCGUAGUAGAUUUUAUCUCGCUCAGGGCGUGCUGCGGGUUCCGGCCGUUAAAAAGCCUUUUUUACCCAAGGUUGACCUCGGAUCAGGUAGGAAUACCCGCUGAACUUAAGCAUAUCAAUAAGCGGAGGA
RNAcentral lists this unclassified non-coding RNA (335 nucleotides) under soil metagenome. RNAcentral describes it as "partial contains 5.8S ribosomal RNA, internal transcribed spacer 2, and large subunit ribosomal RNA". The stretch from base 1 to 119 matches the Rfam family "5.8S ribosomal RNA", at positions 35 to 154 of the family's 154-position model. The record is from RNAcentral.